Long non-coding RNA from Herpailurus yagouaroundi (jaguarundi), 668 nucleotides. RefSeq lists it as uncharacterized. The record is from RefSeq and is a predicted model, not a curated record. The transcript is spliced from 3 exons. NCBI's taxonomy places the organism in Eukaryota, Metazoa, Chordata, Mammalia, Carnivora, Felidae.
GACCCCCGCGGGGUGCGAGGUCCCAGCCCGGCCCCCUUGGAGCCCCUCCUCCGCAUUCGCUCCGCGGGUCCUUCGCCGAAAAGGAGCUGGGAGUGAAGGAAGGGCCCAGGGCGCUACUCUGCUGCCCUUCUUGCGGGGCUCCGACUCUGUGUGGUGUGGGUUUAUCGCCCCGGCCUCAGGCAGGUGGCGGCUGCUCCUCUAGGGUUUAUCAAAAACGGGGAAAGGGACACCGAGUCCCUCAGUCCUGGGAGAAGAAUGCUGAGCGGGAUUCACGUCCCUGGACGAGAAGUUUUCCUUUCCGGGGGCUUGAACUCACAACCUUGAGAUCUAGACCUGGGCUGAGAUUAAGAGCCGGACAUCUAACUGAACCACCCAAGCACCCCUGUGACUCUUGACUAAAAGAAUAUAAGCCUGUAUCCUGAGAUCUGAACACCUAACCACAUUGUGCAUGUAAACCACAGCUUUUUUUAGUUUUCCAGGAUCAGGUCAGAGGGACUCAACACCCAGAAAGACAGUAAUGGUAUAGAAGGGAAAGCUUUGGGAGGGACUGGGCGAGGUAAAACCAUCACCUUACAGAGAAAAUAUGUUGCUUUUGACCACGAGUUCAAUGUUAAUAAAUCAAUGAUAUAUAUUAAAUAAGGUUUCUUUAAACAGAAACACACAUAAAA